AUGUCUAAGUUCACACUGUCUCACGGUGAAACCGCGAAUGGCUCAUUAAAUCAGUCGAGGUUCCUUAGAUGACACGAUCCUACUUGGAUAACUGUGGCAAUUCUAGAGCUAAUACAUGCUUCUGAAGCUCCGACCCUCGUGGAAAGAGCGCUUUUAUUAGUUCAAAACCAAUCGCCGUCUGCCGGGCCUCGCGUCCGGCGGCGGCGUCCCCUUUGGUGACUCUGGAUAACUUUGUGCUGAUCGCAUGGCCCUUGCGCUGGCGACGCAUCUUUCAAAUGUCUGCCCUAUCAAAUGUCGAUGGUACGUGACAUGCCUACCAUGUUUGUAACGGGUAACGGGGAAUCAGGGUUCGAUUCCGGAGAGGGAGCAUGAGAAACGGCUACCACAUCCAAGGAAGGCAGCAGGCGCGCAACUUACCCACUCCCGGCACGGGGAGGUAGUGACGAAAAAUAACAAUACGGGACUCUUUCGAGGCCCCGUAAUUGGAAUGAGUACACUUUAAAGCCUUUAACGAGGAUCUAUUGGAGGGCAAGUCUGGUGCCAGCAGCCGCGGUAAUUCCAGCUCCAAUAGCGUAUAUUAAAGUUGUUGCAGUUAAAAAGCUCGUAGUUGGAUCUCAGGUGCAGGCGGGCGGUCCGGCUCGCGCCGGUUCACUGCCCGUAUCUCCUGCCCUACCGUCUGCCGGCUCUCUCCCGCGGGUGCUCUUCGCUGAGCGUCCCGGGUGGCCGGCGCGUUUACUUUGAAAAAAUUAGAGUGUUCAAAGCAGGCCUUGGUCGCCUGAAUAAUGGUGCAUGGAAUAAUGGAAUAGGACCUCGGUGUCUAUUUUGUUGGUUUUCGGAAACGAGGUAAUGAUUAACAGGGACAAACGGGGGCAUUCGUAUUGCGGCGUUAGAGGUGAAAUUCUUGGAUCGCCGCAAGACGGACUACUGCGAAAGCAUUUGUCAAGAAUGUUUUCAUUAGUCAAGAACGAAAGUCAGAGGCGCGAAGACGAUCAGAUACCGUCGUAGUUCUGACCAUAAACGAUGCCAACUAGCGAUCCGCAGGAGUUGCUUUGAUGACUCUGCGGGCAGCUUCCGGGAAACCAAAGUUUUUGGGUUCCGGGGGAAGUAUGGUUGCAAAGCUGAAACUUAAAG
Molecule: ribosomal RNA, 1131 nt
Filed under: Cliopsis krohnii
Lineage: Eukaryota; Metazoa; Mollusca; Gastropoda; Pteropoda; Cliopsidae
Description: SSU rRNA
Rfam family: Eukaryotic small subunit ribosomal RNA
Source: RNAcentral